RNAcentral lists this ribosomal RNA (452 nucleotides) under uncultured prokaryote. Its description in RNAcentral is "bacterial SSU rRNA". It matches the Rfam family "Bacterial small subunit ribosomal RNA", at positions 342 to 791 of the family's 1533-position model. The record is from RNAcentral.
CGGGGGGCAGCAGUGAGGAAUAUUGGUCAAUGGACGCAAGUCUGAACCAGCCAUGCCGCGUGCAGGAUGAAGGCCUUCUGGGUUGUAAACUGCUUUUAUCAGGGAAGAAACCACAGAUUUCUAUUUGUGCCGACGGUACCUGAGGAAUAAGCACCGGCUAACUCCGUGCCAGCAGCCGCGGUAAUACGGAGGGUGCAAGCGUUAUCCGGAUUCACUGGGUUUAAAGGGUGUGUAGGCGGGCAUGUAAGUCCGAGGUGAAAUCUCCGAGCUCAACUUGGAAACUGCCUUGGAUACUAUAUGUCUUGAAUAUCGUUGAGGUAGGCGGAAUAUGUCAUGUAGCGGUGAAAUGCUUAGAUAUGACAUAGAACACCGAUUGCGAAGGCAGCUUGCUAAACGAUUAUUGACGCUGAGGCACGAAAGCGUGGGGAUCAAACAGGAUUAGAUACCCUCGU